This 72-nucleotide transfer RNA is filed under the name Ictidomys tridecemlineatus (thirteen-lined ground squirrel). RNAcentral's name for it is "Spermophilus tridecemlineatus (thirteen-lined ground squirrel) tRNA". It matches the Rfam family "tRNA". From Rfam's summary of the family: Transfer RNA (tRNA) molecules are approximately 80 nucleotides in length. Their secondary structure includes four short double-helical elements and three loops (D, anti-codon, and T loops). Further hydrogen bonds mediate the characteristic L-shaped molecular structure. tRNAs have two regions of fundamental functional importance: the anti-codon, which is responsible for specific mRNA codon recognition, and the 3' end, to which the tRNAs corresponding amino acid is attached (by aminoacyl-tRNA synthetases). tRNAs cope with the degeneracy of the genetic code in two manners: having more than one tRNA (with a specific anti-codon) for a particular amino acid; and 'wobble' base-pairing, i.e. permitting non-standard base-pairing at the 3rd anti-codon position. Lineage: Eukaryota; Metazoa; Chordata; Mammalia; Rodentia; Sciuridae. The record is from Rfam by way of RNAcentral.
UGGGUUGUAGCUUAACAGUAGAGCGCUUGCCUUGCAAGCAUGAGGUACUGGGUUCAAUCCUUAGCACCACAU